GACGAACGCUGGCGGCGUGCUUAACACAUGCAAGUCGAACGGAAAGGCCCUGCUUUUGUGGGGUGCUCGAGUGGCGAACGGGUGAGUAACACGUGAGUAACCUGCCCUUGACUUUGGGAUAACUUCAGGAAACUGGGGCUAAUACCGGAUAGGAGCUCCUGCUGCAUGGUGGGGGUUGGAAAGUUUCGGCGGUUGGGGAUGGACUCGCGGCUUAUCAGCUUGUUGGUGGGGUAGUGGCUUACCAAGGCUUUGACGGGUAGCCGGCCUGAGAGGGUGACCGGCCACAUUGGGACUGAGAUACGGCCCAGACUCCUACGGGAGGCAGCAGUGGGGAAUAUUGCACAAUGGGCGGAAGCCUGAUGCAGCAACGCCGCGUGCGGGAUGACGGCCUUCGGGUUGUAAACCGCUUUCGCCAGUGACGAAGCGUGAGUGACGGUAAUGGGUGAAGAAGCACCGGCUAACUACGUG
This 468-nucleotide ribosomal RNA is filed under the name uncultured bacterium. RNAcentral's name for it is "partial 16S ribosomal RNA". It matches the Rfam family "Bacterial small subunit ribosomal RNA", at positions 28 to 507 of the family's 1533-position model. The record is from RNAcentral.